UUUUUUUCCUUAUUUCCAGCCAAGAGAGGCUCUCCUCACGAGAAAAAAGCCCUUAUUUCUUCUCAUCCCCAGCUUUGCAAAAGAGGGGGGAAGACGUUGGAGCCAUUUUCGACGGGUCCCAAGAGCAGUGGGCAGAGACCCACGAUCCCCAGCCCCUGUUGAAUUUUCUCCUUUCUCCUUUUCUUCUCCCAAAACCAGAAGCCAAGACAGGCCCCCAACCUUGCAUUUUUCUUAAGCCAGCCAUACGUCCCCCCCUUGCCAGCGCCGUUCCCUCAUUUUUCCAACACACCCAAGCCAGCCCCUCACUUUUUGAAUUUUUGUUUCUUCUCCCUCAACCGGCCACAACCUUUUUUUUCAAUCUCCCCGUCAUCUCCCCCGAAGCCACACAAAUCCUCUCCCUUCUCCUCCAAAACCGAACAACCACUUCCCCGGAUUGAUUUUUUUUGCGCCCGAGACCCCCAUCUCACUUUCUCCCUCACUGCAAACCCUCACUGUUGAAUAACCCAGUUCUUCCCCACACAAACCAGAGAGCAUAGGGAGGCCGUCGUUCCUAUCUACUUUGCCUUUUCCCUGCUCCACCUCUUGCCAGCCAAAGGCUUUUCUUCCCCUACCACCCGAGGGAAACCAGCCCCUCUCCUUCAUCCAUCUCACUAUUUUCCUCUCAUUUGCAGCCUCCCCAGCCGCCUCUCACUGGGCAAAUACAAAUCCCCCCAACUCACGGCCCCUUUGCAAAAACAAACCGGCCGCCACCCCCCCAUCCUCAGAUUUUUCCUUUCUUCUCCAUAACCGACAGCAGCCCCUGCCCUCUUCCCCAUUUUUCUCCUCCCCACAGACCAGCGGCCGGACCGGCCACCACGGAACCCAAGCCACAGCAGCGACCCCAACAGCGCCGCCCGAAGUAGAGGCUGACCCGGGGCAAAGUCGAUCUGAAGAAGGGCGAACCGAUCUGCAAAAAAUCAGAUCAAAGAAGCAGAUCUGUAACGGAAAGAAAAAAAUUAAAACGAACUGCUGUUUGUGAGUUUUUUCUCUUGUUGCAAGUGGCAGUGACCUUCACCGCCGGCGAGGAAAGGAAGAGGAGAAGGAGCCGCUCCAGCCCCCUCUGUUUUUCAGGUUUUCCAUCGGCGGCGCGUGAACCCACGCGCCGCCAGUGACGGGGGCGCGUGGGAAGACGCGCCACCAGUGUUCAGCUGUCCAGAAUAUGUUUCCAACACUGUUCCGGUGGUGCCCCAUAAAUUCCAGAUUGUGUUGGGGCUGUUUUUUUUGUAAAUUUUAAAUUAAUUAAUGUAAUUUUUAUUUUGAUGUUUUGAAUUUGUAUUGUAUAAAUGUGAUGGAAAAGAAAAGAAAAAUAAAUAAUAAAAAAAUUGUGCUGUGUGUUUGUAUUUUUUUUCUUAUGACAUUGAAUUAUAAAAAAUAAAAAAAGACAAAAAGAAUUAAUUGUUAAUUUAAAUAUGGUUAAAUAUCUUAAAGGACAAAUAAAAUCAAGUUGUAUUUUCCACGAAAAUGUAAGAACAAGUUUUUUUACAUAUAUUCGGGGAUUUAAUAACUGAUUUAUUCAAGCCUUAGAAUUUAAUUAAUACUUUAAAUUUUCUUAAAUAUGGUUAAAUAUCUCAAGGACAAAUAAAAUCAAGUUGUAUUUUCCAUGAAAAUGUAAGAACAAGUUUUUACAUAUAUUCGGGGAUCUAAUAACUGAUUUAUUCAAGCCUUAGAAUUUAAUUAAUAUUUUAAAUUUUCAAAUUACAUCAGAACACAAAGCAGCUUACCUCAGGUAGGGUGUGUUAGGGGUGCUAAUACCUUCCCUAACCACAACCAGUCCCUUACCCGCGAUCUCUGACAAGACCAGUACAUCAGGUUUCCUAGUAGCCCUCAAUGAAUUACUAGGUGGCGACUCCUAACGAACCGAUUCAAGCAAACGCAACAAAUGAGAAAAAUUGCCAGCCGAUGUCGCGCGCGGGAUUUGUUUGGGGUGCGACAAGCACCCUAAAACAAAUGCCCUUAUUCAAGUCUUUACCAAUCAGAAAUGCCUUCAUAACUAGGAGAUAGCGGUGCUAUUCCGACAUUACAAAUUGCUAGAAAGACCACCUAAUUUAACUCGUCAAUCAUCGUGCAUAGUCUACAUGAGAGUAUCCAAUAAAAAAAAAUAUCAUAGAUACCAAUAAAUAUCAAGGUAAAGAAGAAGAAGACAUAAAACAAAAACCUACUGCAGAUUGAUCUUGAUAAUGAUGCUUCUUGUAACGGAGAUUCUUCUUCUUCUUGAUAACGCCACCUGCUUUCACAUCCAGUGCUUUACCCUUCAGCUUCAGCUUCCCCCUAUCACGUUCUCGUACGCAGACAUCACUCCACCGAUCAGGAUUCAUGACCACCAGCUAUGAUUGUAGAUUUCUUUAUAAUUAUUUAUUUGCCGAAAUAAAAAUCAAACAACAAUGUUAGACAAGACAAUGGGAGAAGAACAUGAUUUGAUUUUUCAGAGAUGGAGAUUGAGGUUGAGAUGGGAUGAGGAAUUCACAUUGCGUGGGAGAGGGGUAUUAGAAAGAGUGGCAAGUUCUGGACAGAAGUCAAAGUCUCUAGAACACCUCUGAUCUUGCCAAGUGGGGACAUUAGAUUAGAGGGAACCAUCUAAUGACAUGUUGUUGUUAGCUCUACGGCCCAAAACAAUGAUUUGGCGUCUUUCCCGUUGACAAGAAAUCUCGGUUUCGUCACGGGUAAACUUUCCUUUUUAACCUUGUAGAUUCAAGUAUGUUCAAACUCCAUCCUUGUAGUCUGAACUUCUAUACUCUAACCUAUAUGGUUGGUUUUAAGAGGUUCCGAUGUGUUUCCCUAAUCAUUUAAAUAGCUAGCAAAGCUCUUUUUUCCUUUUUUUUUUAUUUAAAAUAACUCAAUUUAUCAUAUUAUAAAGAAAGCUAAAUGGUGUAACCUUCAUAAUAUUAAUGAUUGUGAUAUAUAAUGUCAUAUUAUGUUGUGUUGAAAUAGGAUAUGGUUCAAGAUAGUUGGACCUUAAUAAUAGUGAUGACUGUGAUAUAUAAAUGUGAAGAUGUCGAUAACUUGAUAUGUUUAAAAACAGGGGAAACUCUUUUAAAUUUUAGGUAAAGAUAAAAAAAAAAUACCUUUAUUUUCAUGAAAGUUUUAUGAUUUAUAUUAGUUAGUUUGCUUGUGAAAAUUCAGGAUAUUACACAUUUAUUCUAAGAUUUGGAUACUCUUCCUUAUUCUUUAACUGAUUUUUGCUUUGAAUCAUAAGCUGAAUCACUAUUAGCUUUAAUUUUUUUCUUCUUAUUUCACUAUGCCUUAACAUUAAACAACACAUCUCUAUCAACACCAAUUUUUUUACUUUUCAGAUCAUAUAGUCUAUAACCCAUUGACAUGGAGCUAUAGCCAAGAAAGAUGCAUUUAUCAAUAGUUUCUUUUAACUCGUGUCUUUUCUUCUUUGAAAUCUGAGCAUAACACACGCAACCAAUACUUUUAGAUGAUUUACUAAAGACUGCUUGACAUUUCAAGAUUUAAAUGAUGUUUAAUUGUUUAAAACUUUUGUUGGAUACUUACUGGUUAAAUAAAUCAUUGUAUUUAUAGCUUCAACCCAAAAGACUUCUUAGAAAACCCUUCCCAAACAACAUAGAUUUAACUAUUUCCAUCAUAACAUGAUUUUUCCUCUUAGAUACCCUAUUUUUCUAUGGAGUAUAACCAACUGUUAACUAUCUUUUCACACCUUUUUCUUCAUAAAACUUCUCAAAUUCACUUGACAUACUCCUUUCCAUGAUCACUUCUCAAAGCUUUUAUCUUGCAGUCACUUUUCUUUUCAAAAUAUCACUUUGAACUUCUUGAAUAUGCUGAAAACUUCAAAAGUAUACCUCAUAAAAUACACUUAAGUUGUUUAUUAUAAUCAUGAAUGAAGAGAAUAAAGUACCUUUUUAGUGAAUUUGAAGGAGUUUUUAUAGGACCACACACAUCCGUAUACACUAGCUCAAGCUUUUCUUUUGGCUUUGCAUGCUACUUUUUUAGAGAAAAAAAAAUUGUUAAUGAUGCUUCCUAGUUACAAAACCUUCACAAACAUUAUCCUUCUCUUUAGUAAUGAAAUUCCCUACACCAUAUUUUUUUGUUUUGUUGAAGUAACAUGAGCCUAAUAAAGUUCAAAUGACCAAGCAUUAUAUUCCAAAGCUAUGAGUCAUUUUCUCCUUUCAUGUUCAUUUCCACGCCAUUUAUAUGUUUCAAGUUGGGGGGAAAACACUUAUUCACCAUCUUAACACUUUUUUUUUUAUCAUAAAUACUGCAAUAAUCAUUUUUAAAAUACAGUGCAUACAUACCCAUGUCCAUAAGCUAUCCAAUAGUAAAUUUUGAUAAGCUUAUGAACAUGCAAGAUUUUACGUAUCACGUCUUCUUCUAUCUUCGUUUAAUCAAAUCCCUAUCUCUAAUAUUCACUCUAGACUUGAUAUUAAUGUCUAGAUGAUUGAAAUCCUUCCAUUUGUUAUCAUGUGAUUGCUACACGAGUUGCCAAUAUAUAAGGCACUGAUCAUUUUUCUAUUGUAAUGUAUUUUAAAAAGUAUAAAACAAACUUAUUUCUUUCAUCUCAUACCUCUUUUAAAAAUCUUGCAUGUUGUUUCCCUUUCAUUCUAAAAUAUUUUACCAUAUAGCCAAAUAUUUCUCAAUUGAAAUACUAAGUUUUUCCUCUCUUCUAGCAAUCUUUAGCAACACAUCCUAGCUUGUUAUAAAGAAAACACCUCCAUGGAGAGUUGUUCUUUGUUAGUUUAUUGUCAUAGCUUCUUCUACUUGUAAAAUUAAAUCUGCCCCCCUCCUAAAACUUUUACCCAUUAGUUUACGUUUACCUUUGCUAGUUUUUCUACCUUAUCUAAUGACUCAAAACUUCUUAUUUCUUUCAUUUGAAGACCUUUUUCUCUUGGUUUUGAUUUUCUAACAUUAAGCUUAGAUUGAAAUGCACUUUCAACCGAUUUUCUAGAUCGUUGUACCAAUUCUUAAAUAGUUAACUUUGACAAAUCCUUAGUUUCUUCAACAACAACAACAAUAGGAUUAAGUUUUCAUCCAAGUUAAUAAAAAAAUUCAUCUUUACUUUUUAUAUCAAGACUUUCAUCCCCACAUGUUCUCAUUUGAUUUACAAGUGUUAUCAACUUAUUGAAUACUCUUCAGAUGAUUCAUUCUCUUUCAAUUUCAAAUUUUGAAAUACUUUUCUAAGACUUUGUUGUUUAACAACCCUUACCUCCACAUCUACUUAUAUUCAUGUUGUAGAAUCUCACAUGUUUAACUGCCUCUCAUGAUAUUUUGAAAGAUGUGAUCAAUUAAGGUCAUCUUUAUCCUAAUAUAUGAAUCCAAGUUAGAAUCUCUUUGAAUUAAUCCAAGAACUUCAACAUUUGUACUUUUUCUAUCCUUUAAAUCUUUAACUUUGUAUUAUGAGUAGGUUAUCUAUUGAUUCAAAUUCUUUAAAGACAAUCUCUAUCAUCUCCCACAAAUCAAGUGAAGUGAGCAAAAUCUUCAUCUUUAUGCUUCAAAAUUCAUAAUUUAAUCUUGUGAAUAUAGGAGGCUGGAUAUAAUUCCAGUUUAAGUUGUUUACUUUGACAAUCUCUUGCAAAUCAACUUCUUUUAUUUAUUUCACCUCCGAACUCGUCUUCCUUCAAACUUUACUAUGAUACCACUACUUUUGGCUAAGUUAUUAACCUAUGUGUGUUCAAAACAACAUAAAAAUACAAUUUUUAGGACAAACAAAGUCUUUAAUUUUCUACAAAAUAGCAUGAACAUGGGAGAUAAAAAGAUUGUUGAAACUUAUCCCUCCUUUUCUUUUCUUUUUUAUUUUUUCUCUCACAUUCAUCUUUAUAACAUUACCAACACAUCUUGACCUUAUAUUUGUUCAUUUUAAUCAUCUUUUAAUCUAUCUCUAAUUACUUUUUUUAAAUACAAGUUAACUAACUAAAAUCAAUAUUAAUUAGUUGUCACAGUAACUUAACUAGUUACAACAACAAACUUGUUUUCAACGCAAAUAUAAUACUAGCAUGAAUACUAAACAUAUAUUGAAAUUUACAAUUGAUAUUAAUUCAAAGUUUUAGCAUGCAUACUAAUAUUAUACAUACAUAUGUGUGUGUGCACGCGCGCGUGCUUAAAUUGAAAAAAAAAAGGAAUUUAUUUAUUGAAGCACUUUAAGGUAAUGUGAUUUUUGUUAUUGUCAAAGAUGAAUUAUUUAUCUUUAAGACUUUAUUGCUUCUCACUUGUGCAACUAGGAUGUUUGCAAUAUACCACAUAAGAUUUUAACACCACCACCUUGGUUUAGAUACACUUUUAAAUAAGGUCUUUAAACUAAAGAUUAUGUAACUUAGAUAUAUUUCAACAAGAUUAACUUAAUCUCUAGAUUUGAGAUGAAAAUUAAUCGGUAAAGACACCAGAACCGAGAUAUUAUUUACGCACUUGUAUGAUCAUAAAUGAUAGAGGGAAGCCCAAUUCAUCAAGAGAUUGGGUUUUAACUCAUGUUUUGGUUUAAUUUAUUUGAACUUCUAGAUGAUGUUUCUUAAUUGGGCUUUAUUUGUUGGAUAUGAUUUAAUUAUUGUUGGUUAUUUUAUAUAAUAAACUAGAAGCACAACUAGUUCUAGUUAUGGUUUUAAUAUUUAUUUCAACUUUUCUAAAUGUUAGAUAUUUUUUUAUUAAUUGAAUAAAAAUUACAAAGUUUUAGACUUUUCCAACCCCCUUCUUCUCUUCUCCAGCGUCUUCUUCUCUUCUUUGGUUUUUUUUUUUCUUAACUUCUUCUUUUUUCUCUUCUUAACUUAUUAUUUCAAUUUCAAAUCUCUUUUGUCUGCUUAUUUAAAAAAAUUAAAAAGAAAAAAGAAGAUGCGCAUAUUGAUCAAGAAAUUACAAGAAAUAUAAAAAUUCCAAAAUAUAUUCAUGUAUUCAAUAUUAUGUACAACAUCGCUAACCGACAGGCUUUUAAGAAUGUUUUUGGAAGGGCACUUCUCUUAUGCAUAAUUGACAUGCGAUAAACCAGUAACCAAAAGAGAGAUUUAUGAAUAUGCUGACAUGCUACUUGUAUCCCCUGCUCCAAACAGGCACGGAGUAUAUUAGGGUCCCCAAGCUAAAUGAGACAACUAUCGUUAUUAAGGCAUAUACAUAAGCUCUCCAACUUUUCUGGCUUUCUUCCAUUGCAUUGUACUCAGCAAUGAAAGUAGAAACAGUACUCAGACAACCCAAAAAUCCAAAUUGUAUGCCAGUUGAAAUGGUAUCACAAGUUUUGGUAUGCACCUGCAUCACCCAAAUCUCAUAUCAUCAAAAUUUAUAGUGAAGUAUUCUUCGUAAAACUCACUCAAGCUAAAUAAGGAUGGUAGCACCACCAGGGUUAAAACAAUAAAGGGAAAAGCAAGAAUUUAAAACAUAAUAAACAAUAUGUGAUUCACAAUUAACCUAACUAACACAAAAAUAUAAUUAGCCAGAUCUAUAAUCAACAAAUUUAACUUGAAAGGUAUAGCACAUGCACGCAAAAGAAGGAGAAAAAGUUCGAUUGGGGAGAGAGAUGAAACCAUACCGCUUUCUUCACAGUAGACAGUGCUGCCAUGAUACAUGCUGCAGAAACAUUUGCAAUAAGAGUUCCAAAUGGAAUCCAUUUCAAAGAACCAGCCUUACCUAACCCACGCCCAUUAAGCCUUGCUAAGAACCACCUAAUCCACACCCCUAGGGGUGCAACUAUGCAACCCAACCAUAGCUGAGCCCCACUACUGUCGUGGUUAUACUCCUCCUUUAGCAUUGCUCCACUUAGAGCCCACAAAAGGCCUAACAUUACCACCAAUACCACCAUAACUGCAAAGUGAUGAUUAGGACUGUCCACCCUCCAACUAGCUAAAGUUGCACUUCUGUUUGACCUUUGGAAAAAUGACUUGAAACAUUUGGCCGUACCAAUACCUAAUUUUAUGGAGUAGGCUGCAAGGAAUAACCCUGAAAGAUACACACAGUGAGAAGUUACUCGUUUACUUUUUAAUGGUCUGGCAUUGCCAAGGCUCGUCUCUUAUUAAAAUUUUAAACAGGCCCAUGCACAAGAGCAAUAGUUAAGUUUCCAUGUCCCACUUAAGCUACAACUACAUCUUACAAUAAUUUGCAAGUGCCAGUUACCUAUGAGAAAGCCAACAAAAGAAAACACCCAAUGGCCACUAACACUGAGAUCAAGCAUUUUCUGAUUCCAACCACUGAACGUUGUGAGACUUCCCAAGUAACCAGUAGUUAAUCCAAUGGCCAAAUGACCAGACACUUUGGAUAUGUCUUCUUUGAAAACAACACCCCACCAUCCCAUCAAGAACGAACCGACCUAGAAGAGCACAUAUUACAAAUAAGUAAUAAAUUAAUGAGCUUCAUUUGUAUUCCAAAGUUGAAAACACAGAGUCCAAGUGUUGUCGACACAUUAUAAUUCAUUAAUCUAUGCAUCUUAAAGGUGAUAAAGACAAGUUGUGUUAUUCUUGCACUACUUUUUUAGUUUAUUGAAAGGAAUGGGACAAACAGAGUACCAGUUACCACAAGCAGAACCUCUAAUUAUGGAUUAUUCUAAAACAAUUGAGUUUCACAAUAAAAACCCAAGGUUCAACUUACAUGGCAAUUGAAUCUACCAAACACUAAUAACUUCAUAAACAAUUCUACUUAUCUAAUCAAUAUCAAGAAUCCUUUUGGUUCAAUUAAUCUUGUAUUAUGGGAAUACCAUAGAAGUAAUUUAGAAUAACAAUAUCCUGAUUAAGUUCCAUGAUGAGUAAUGACUAAUGAAUUGUCAUACCAUAACAAAGUCAAAAAGAAAUAUCCAUGUUACUUCAUCCAACCACAUCUAAACCUCAUAAAUUUUAAUGAAACAAAAGCACGCCUUACUGUUAAACAAGCUAGACAACUUAAGAUUAGGAAUGAUCUCUACUUUAAACAUAAAAAUAAUAUAGAUGCAAUAUCUCUGUAUAUUUGGGUGUAUCUGUAAGUGAGAGAAAGGGGGGGAGAGAGACCAUAUUGGAAGGUAAGUCAAGAUAUAACGGAUAGUUGUCACUUGUCACACCAGCAACAUCAGGGCCAAAGAGUUUUUGUAAUAAAUACCUUGUUAAGACCUGCAAAUCAUGUCGUAUCAAACAUUAGUAGUUUUUCAUAUUAAUCUGCACGCCCGAAAUUGCCCCCUCUCCCAGCCAUGUCUAAAUGCUCUCUUUGGUUUUGCACUCCCAUCAAGCACAAUGUUUAAUGCACACAUCAAUCAAAAAAAAAAAGGGCAAAUAAAAAAAAUCAACAUGAUAAUCAAUUAGAAACGAAAACAUAAUGCAGCAUUGUCGUAUAGAUUAUGCUGCUGGUACAACGUUUCUUUAAUAAACCCAUUUCAAGAUGAUGGCAUUGUAUAUUAAAAGUUGAAAAUAAGAAUACAUUAUUUAUAGGACAACCAAAAUCAGAUUAUACCUCCUUUGCAACCUUCACUAAUAGAGUAGACCGUUGACUCUAUUUUAAAAUUCCUUCAAUGUUAGCAGAGAACUGUGAUACUUGCUUUCAAUUGUAUUAGUAACCAAAAGAAAAACAGGACUGCUGGAUAUCUUUUUUAAGGAAUAGAUUACGCUUUGCUGUUAGAUUAUUGAUAAUGUUUAGAAGAUGUACAAAUCACUCGCCUCAACUAGUCUUCAUCUGACCUUAAAUUAUUGUUUGGAGAAGAUGAAAAUUAGCAAGAUUUUGACAACACUUCCUAGGAUCAAACAUCCUCCUAGAAAGACAGCUACUCCUUGUUGUGGUAACUAAAGAACACCAGUUUCCAACACAGCUUAUGUCAAGCGAAGAGAAUAUUUCUUGAUCUAGCUUAUUGUACAAAUGUUUCCAUGAGGCUAUGUGGUUUCAAUUUCAAAUUAUAUUCUCUUCAAGUGGUCAUGUUGAGCACUUGAAAACUAUAAGUGAUGGUAAUAAUGGAUUUAUUAAAUUCUUUUCAUUAACUUCCAUAAAAAUAUUAUCUGCCUUUUAAAAUUUUAUGGGGUUGCUGUCUGCAACAUCAGAAUUCUAACAAAACCACUUAAAAAAAGCCAACAAAAUUGACAAAUAAGAAAAAAGGAAAAGAAGCACCAGAAUCCAACAUAACAUAAGAAAAUAAAAAAUAAAAAGUCGUUAAAGUUAGGUUACCAUUUACUAAUGCCAUUUUAAAUAUUCCAAAAGUAAAAAGAAAAAGGUUGUGCGUAUUACCCCAAGAAUUCCAAAAAAUGCUAGAUACACAAGACAUGAGAUAUACUCGAGUGCUGGUGACAACACAAAUGCUUUCACCUUAUCCUGGAUCGAUAUAGCAGCAAGAAAGCAAUGAAUUAUCAGAUUAACAGUCUUAGACAAGUAGCAGCAGUUUGAUCUUGUAUCAUAAGACAAACAACCAUUAAAGACACAAACCCAUAUCCAUGAGGCAAUAAACCAAACAAAUCCUAUAAGCGCUAAUGAAAUAGAUAAUAAUGAUCAUUUGAAUUCUCACUUCUUGUUUUUCACUGGAGCAGACCACUACAUCAGGUGAGAUAGGAGACAUGAUUUCUUCUGGCGAAGGUAACACAUGAGAUCUUGUAUUCAAAGCUGUGGAGUCAUGAGCCCACAACUCAUUCGAUCGUAGGAAGUUAUCAUUCGAAAUGGGAAACACCAUACCAUUUUCUAACCCGCUGUCAAUGGAUAAGCUGAUGCUGCCACUUUCAUUAUGACUGUUGCUAUGAAGAGCCCUGUCACCAAUAUCACCUGCCUCUGACACGUUUUCACUUUCAAUAUCAUCAUCUACCUGGAAGGAUCUGCUGCGUGAUAAACUUAAAAAACGUCUUCUCACUGAAGAGACUACGCUGCUCGUCUGACGAAAUGAUUCACUCAUAUUGGGUUCAGACUCAUCAGUUCCGCGAUCCAUAACUCAGACUAAGACAACAGUAUUCAAUAAAUUAAAUCAGUAAAAGUCAAUCAACCACCGCCCUUCUACUUGUGAACUAUAUAGAACUCUUCAUUUCAUAUAUUGAUAUCCAACUCCCGAGUCAAUCCAAAAACAGAUGCAAUGAUUGCAACAACCCAGAUAAAUGAGAAUGGCAGCAAAGAAAUAAUUUAUCCCCAACAAAGAACAGCUUGCUUGCUUUCAGGGCCUUUUUGACAUUAAAGUAAACUAGAGAUUAGUUAUGACUGCUUGCCCUCCGAGCAUGCUAAGCAUAGCCAACCAAGAAAAGAAAUUGUGAAAUCAAAUCACGAGAGAAAGCUAACUUUAUUAGACCAUUCAUUUCAAUCCAAAUGGAACAGCAAAAGGCAAAAAAGAAAGACAGGGAGUGUUGAGAAGAGUCACCCUCGUGGAAAAAGAGACGGGUGAGAGCUGAGAAAAGGGAACGCUGCUGCUUCGGGAGGGACGAGGGUAAGAGUGUUCUUCAGGCUUUCUUGGUUUUACCAAGUGUAUGAAUUAAUUCAAACACGCACGGAAGAGUUGGAUCAAAAGCGAAUUCAUUGAUGGCCGUUGAAACAAUCUAUCAGCCGCGUGUUCAUUCAAAGGAUGAUGAGAUGAGAUAGCGAAAGAGAAGGAGAAAAACGAUAGCUAUGGCGGUUUAGGCGGUGCAAUAACUGGAACCCUUCGUUUAUUUAAGGCCUCUGCAGCGACUCUUUUACAUUACUUGCUAACACGGGCUAGGAAAAUGGUCCCUUGCCUUGGCACACUAUCUCUGACUUUUUGCCUCUCUUUGCAGAUACAGAUCGUAGAAAUAUUGUUAUUUUGCCUCUCUUUGCGAACUCGCCUUUGGCUUCUUUAAAAUUAUAUUCCAAGUGGACCAAUACCAAAAAAAAAAAAAAAAAAACCUCCAUCCCUCAUGUCGUGAUCAAAAGACAUGUGACGUGAAUUAACAAGUCGAUGGCUACUUGCAUGGUUAGCGACCCACAAGCAACCUAAGCAAAAAUCAACCUCUUGAUACGUAGAAAAAAAAAAAUUCAACCUAUUGAUGCGUAGAAAUAGUAAUGAUUGCAAAAAUCAAACUAAAUUUACUUUCCAAAUCCCAAAAGAGAAGAGAGAGGGGAUUCUGACUUUAUGAGUAUCAGCCACACGGGCUUCAAUAAUUUAAGUGGUGUAUAUAUAUAUAUAUAUAUAUAUAUAUAUAUAUAUAUAUAUAUAUAUAAUGACUAGAUCAUUUUCCGGUUGUUCUUGAUGCAAUGGUAACAGGGACAUCUUCAAGAGCUCAUUGUUCUAGGAUACAACACGUGGAUUCCGAGCCGACUUAUUAAAUUAAGUUACUAGAUCAUUCGGUAGGAUUAGCUUUUUUUUACAUAAAAAAAAUAACUAAAUAUUGCUAAUAUUUUUUUAAAUAAAAAAAAUUUAAAUCAUGUAAGAAUUAAUUUAAAAUAACUCAAUUACUUUGGUAAAUUAAAAGAUAACCUAGAUAAUCAGUAAAAAUAUAAUUUAACUCAAAUUAAAUAUUUAAAAUAAGAUUUUUUUAAUAAACAUUAAGGUGAUAAUAUAUUUAAUCGAUUCGAAUUAAUUUGAGCUAAUCUAAUUCAGAGAUCAUAAUAACUUAAUAAAAAAAAUUAAAACAAAUUACAAAAAUUAAUUUCUAAUAAAUGCAAUGUUGAAGGAUAUAACAUGAAAAAAUUAAAAAAAAAACUAAAAAAGAUAACUUUAGUCAAAUCGGGCUAACCUGUUGAAUCCGUAGCCUAGGUCAUGAGACCAUAAUAAUCUAAUAAAAAAUAAAAUUUAAAAAAAAUUCUUGAAUUCUAAUUCCAAAUGAACCCAAAGUCAAAGAAAAAAAUUGAAAAUGAAAAAAAUCAAUUAGAAAUCAAAAUCUUAUUAAACUUGCAGGUCAUGAAUUUAAAAUAACCUCAAAAAAUAUAAAUAGAAAAAAUUAUAAAACAUAAUCCCUAACAAAUUUAAUAAUGCAUUCUGUAUGGAGGAAAUGAUGCAAUUAUAUGCUCGUAUUUUGAGGUUCUUCCUCUAUGUUUGUGUUUACAAAUUAUGGACUAUUAAAAGCAUUUACGUGCUUAAAAACAGAAAACUACCGUAAAAAGUUAUCUCCUUACAUCAAAACUUAAAUAAUUAUUUUGUAGCUAUAAUAAUAACGAAUAAUAAUAAUAAUAAUAAUAAAAGAAAUUCUUAAUUAUUACCUACAAAUAUUCAAGUAUUUUUUAUUUGGAAAUAUAUCAAAAUAAUAUUUUAUUAUUUUUAAAAAAAAAAUUAUUUUUGAUAUCAAUAUAUUAAAAAGAUAUAAAAAAAUUAAAUAAAAUUAAUUUAAAAUAUAAAAUUUUAAAUUUUUUAAAAAUAUUUUUAAAACAUAAAAAAUAAACUAGAUAUUCUAGCAGGCCUUUAUUCCCCGGGACAAUUUUUUAGCCGUCACGGAUCAACACAAAUACAGAUCGUAGAUAUAGUGAUAUUUUGCCUCUCUUUCCGAACUCGCCUUUAGCUUCUUUAAAAUUAUAUUCCAAGUGGACCAACACACACACUCAAAAAAAAGUAAAAAAAAACAGAGAGAGAAAGAGGAAAACCUCCACCUCUCAUGUCGUGAUCAAGAGACAUGUGACGUGAACUAACAAAGUCGAUGGCUACGUGCAUGGUUAGCGAGCCACAAGCAACCUAAGCCAGUGAAAAUUGAUCGUCCUUGGCAUGGCAUCUCUUGGGGUCCUUGUCUCGAUCCCAAGCUGAUCCUACCGAUUCUCUGAAUGGAGUUCAGGCAAGAGAAAUAGGCACCACCGGCUGCAGCGUGGCGCUUGCAAUCAACCUUGCUCGCCGAGCCAGAUUUUGAUAAAAACAUGUUGAUGAGCUGAAUGCGUCAUUUAUUCAGAAAGUGGCUCGGUUCAGGCCCCAGCUACGCUGCGUUGAGCUGAAUGCGUCAUUUAUUCAGAAAGUGGCUCGGUUCAGGCCCCAGCUACGCACAAGAUGGGGAGGUAAGGUACGUUUUUUGUGAUGGGCUCUAGCAUGGCCAUAGCCCAUGGUAUGCAGUGAGCUGAAUUCACUCAAAUUCAGCCCGAGAAUCAAACCUUGGAAUUGGCCUCGAAUUGUGUACGGUAAGUAAUACAGAGAAAGUAUUUUUUUUUUUAAUAAAAAAAGCAUCUUCAGUUUCUCAAAUUUCAAGGUUUUCUCAACCCAGAUUAAUAUUAAUAUCCCCAUUCCUUGCAAAAUCAGAAUAUAACUGAGAGUAAAAGAGAGAUGCCAGAUCAAACAAUUUUACACAGCAAACAAUCUUAUACAAGUGCAUAAUAUUGGGUUUUCUAAAACAUUUAUGAUCUAAAUUUAUUUAAUUAAAUUUCUACUUGAUUUUUUUAGAUUUAGAAUUAUAAUUUUCUAUUUAAAUUCAUUUUAGUUCUCAAUUUUUAAAACUUAUUUACAAUCAAGCCAUACUUGAUUAAUUAUUCUAUUUUAAUUUCUAACUAAUGGUUUUUAUGUAGAAUUUGAUCGUAAGUAAAUUUUAAA
This 14344-nucleotide long non-coding RNA is filed under the name Populus tremula. Its description in RNAcentral is "long non-coding RNA (PTRE_LNC002332)". Lineage: Eukaryota; Viridiplantae; Streptophyta; Magnoliopsida; Malpighiales; Salicaceae. The record is from RNAcentral.